RNAcentral lists this transfer RNA (67 nucleotides) under Crocidura dongyangjiangensis. RNAcentral's name for it is "tRNA-Val". It matches the Rfam family "tRNA". From Rfam's summary of the family: Transfer RNA (tRNA) molecules are approximately 80 nucleotides in length. Their secondary structure includes four short double-helical elements and three loops (D, anti-codon, and T loops). The record is from RNAcentral. Lineage: Eukaryota; Metazoa; Chordata; Mammalia; Eulipotyphla; Soricidae.
CAAAAUGUAGCUUAAUCAAAGCACCUGACUUACACUCAGGAGAUUUCACUCCUCGUGACCAUUUUGA